UACGGAGGGUGCAAGCGUUGCUCGGAAUUAUUGGGCGUAAAGGGUAGGUAGGUGGUCUCAUUUGUCUGGGGUGAAAGCCUUGAGCUUAACUCAAGAAGCGCCCCAGAAACGGUGAGACUAGAGUCCUGGAGAGGGUCGUGGAAUUCCCGGUGUAGCGGUGAAAUGCGUAGAGAUCGGGAGGAACACCAGAGGCGAAAGCGGCGACCUGGACAGGUACUGACACUCAACUACGAAAGCGUGGGGAGCAAACAGG
This 253-nucleotide ribosomal RNA is filed under the name uncultured bacterium. RNAcentral's name for it is "partial 16S ribosomal RNA". It matches the Rfam family "Bacterial small subunit ribosomal RNA", at positions 524 to 776 of the family's 1533-position model. The record is from RNAcentral.